RNAcentral lists this ribosomal RNA (200 nucleotides) under uncultured bacterium. RNAcentral's name for it is "partial 16S ribosomal RNA". It matches the Rfam family "Bacterial small subunit ribosomal RNA", at positions 8 to 210 of the family's 1533-position model. The record is from RNAcentral.
AGAGUUUGAUCCUGGCUCAGAUUGAACGCUGGCGGCGUGCCUAAUACAUGCAAGUCGAGCGGUAACAGGUGUAGCAAUACAUGCUGACGAGCGGCGAACGGGUGAGUAACGCUUCGGAAUCUGCCUAGUAGUGGGGAAUAACUAACCGAAAGGUUAGCUAAUGCCGCAUACGAACUACGGUUGAAAGCGGGGGAUCGUAA